UCAGUGGCGAACGGGUGAGUAACACGUGAGCAACCUGCCCCCGACUCUGGGAUAACCCCGGGAAACCGGAGCUAAUACCGGAUACGACACGCUCGGGCAUCCGAUGCGUGUGGAAAGAUUUAUCGGUUGGGGAUGGGCUCGCGGCCUAUCAGCUUGUUGGUGGGGUAAUGGCCUACCAAGGCGACGACGGGUAGCCGGCCUGAGAGGGCGACCGGCCACACUGGGACUGAGACACGGCCCAG
This 242-nucleotide ribosomal RNA is filed under the name uncultured bacterium. RNAcentral's name for it is "partial 16S ribosomal RNA". It matches the Rfam family "Bacterial small subunit ribosomal RNA", at positions 92 to 334 of the family's 1533-position model. The record is from RNAcentral.